Molecule: RNA transcript, 1364 nt
Organism: Salvia splendens (bonfire salvia)
Lineage: Eukaryota; Viridiplantae; Streptophyta; Magnoliopsida; Lamiales; Lamiaceae
Gene name: 29 kDa ribonucleoprotein A, chloroplastic
Exons: 5
Source: RefSeq, a predicted model, not a curated record
CCGAGUAAGCUUCGAGUCCAUGGCUCUGGGUGCAAAGGAGGCGGCAAUGGCAUCUUCCAUCUUCUCAUCUUUCCCUCCAACUUCACUCCAUCUCCAUUCAUCCAACAAAUCUUUAUCUUCAAUCAAAUUUGCCGUCGCCAAUUCUCCGCCCUCGCUCAAAUUCAAUUAUCGCCACACAUCGAAAAGGUCUUCCUUUCAGCUGCAAUCAGCUCCAGAAAGCCUUACAACUGUAGCAGAUGAAACAACUGUAGAAGAAGAAGGAGAAAAAAUUGAAAAUUCCGGAAAUGCCAACAUCAGAAGAAAGCUGUUUGUGCUGAACCUGCCGUGGUCCUUCUCCGUCGCUGAUAUAAAGACACUGUUUAGUGAAUGUGGCGAUGUUUCGGACGUUGAGAUUAUAAAGCAGAAAGAUGGGAAGAACAGAGGGUUUGCGUUUGUUACGAUGGCUUCUGGCGACGGUGCUCAGGCUGCUAUCGAAAAGUUUGACUCUUAUGAAGUGGUUGGCCGAAUUAUCAGAGUACAAUUUGCUAAGAGAUUCAAGAAACCUGUUCGUCCUGCUCCUGUAAUAGUCCCUCCGCCUGGAGAGACCCGCCACAGGCUUUAUGUAUCCAAUCUUGCGUGGAAAGCGAGAUCAAAUAAUCUCCGAGAGCUAUUCUCAUCCAACUUCAAUCCUGUUUCAGCAAGGGUCAUAUUUGGUAAUCCUUCAGGAAGAUCAGCUGGAUAUGGAUUUGUAUCUUUUGCCACCAAAGAGGAAGCAGAAUCUGCAAUUAAUGAAUUAGAUGGGAAGGAAUUAUUGGGGAGACCGAUUCGUUUAAAAUUUAGUGAAAGAGGCUCUACUGCUUCUGAAAGUAACGUAGAAUCAAACUCCAAUGCUGCUGAGAGUGAGGCGGAAUCAAGCCCAGAACAGCCCGAAGAGUCUUGAGAUAGGUUUAGCUCGUCCUGCUUCUUGAAACACUGCUCAUUUUCAGCCCUGCACAUGUACUCUUGAUGAUAAUGAUGUUGCAGCUCAACAGGGAUUGAGAUAGAAGAGUCAUCUGCAGAAAGAGCAAAGAGAUGUGUUACAGAUUCAUUCUGAUAUUGCUGAUUAAUUAAUUAACAUGACAUAUCAUCAUAAUUAUAUAAUCGAUUCUUAUAUAGUACUAGCAUGUUUUAGAAGUUCACCACUUAUAUAGACUUCGACAAUACAGUGUAUUGGCCAAAGGCUCAAAGCUAUAGGAUUGGUAUACAUUUAGUUAAAGUUAUAGGAUUGGCUUGUUAAUUAUCUUAUCCUGGUAGUAUAUUAUUAAUGCAUUUGUUGAACAAAACUGAAUAAUUCUUUAACUGCCUUUACGGCGAAUUAAUGUUAGGGAUGAUUUAUUAUUUCUUAA